UUUUGGACAAUGGGCGCAAGCCUGAUCCAGCAAUGCCGCGUGCAGGAAGAAGGCCUUCGGGUUGUAAACUGCUUUUGUACGGAACGAAACGGUCCUGGUUAAUACCUGGGGCUAAUGACGGUACCGUAAGAAUAAGCACCGGCUAACUACGUGCCAGCAGCCGCGGUAAUACGUAGGGUGCAAGCGUUAAUCGGAAUUACUGGGCGUAAAGCGUGCGCAGGCGGUUUUGUAAGGCAGGCGUGAAAUCCCCGGGCUUAACCUGGGAAUGGCGCUUGUGACUGCAAAGCUGGAGUGCGGCAGAGGGGGAUGGAAUUCCGCGUGUAGCAGUGAAAUGCGUAGAUAUGCGGAGGAACACCGAUGGCGAAGGCAAUCCCCUGGGCCUGCACUGGCGCUCAUGCACGAAG
This 404-nucleotide ribosomal RNA is filed under the name uncultured bacterium. Its description in RNAcentral is "bacterial SSU rRNA". It matches the Rfam family "Bacterial small subunit ribosomal RNA", at positions 362 to 758 of the family's 1533-position model. The record is from RNAcentral.